CCGGUGAAAAUUAAACGGCCGCGGUAUCCUAACCGUGCAAAGGUAGCAUAAUCACUUGCCUAUUAAUUGUAGGCUAGAAUGAAAGGAUUAACGAAAUAAGGACUGUCUCUAUCACAUAUCUAAAAGUUACUAUCUACUUGAAGAAUCGUAGAUAAGUUCGUUGGACAAGAAGACCCUAUAGAGCUUCAUUUAAAAACAAGUGAAAUUGUUCUAAAAUUCGGUUGGGGCGACCAAGGAAAUAUUAAUCACCCUAUAGUAUUAAAGAUUUAUUAAUCUAAAAAUUGACCCUUAUAAAGAUCAAAAAAUCAAGUUACCUUAGGGAUAACAGGCUAAUCCUAUUAUAGAGUUCAUAUCGACAAUAGGGUUUGGCACCUCGAUGUUGGCUUAGGAUACCAAUAUAGCGCAAAAGCUAUAAAAGGGCGGUUUGUUCAACCGAUAAUUUCCUACNUGAUCUGAGCUUCA
RNAcentral lists this ribosomal RNA (462 nucleotides) under Diplocardia komareki. RNAcentral describes it as "partial 16S ribosomal RNA". It matches the Rfam family "Bacterial large subunit ribosomal RNA", at positions 1863 to 2614 of the family's 2925-position model. The record is from RNAcentral. Lineage: Eukaryota; Metazoa; Annelida; Clitellata; Crassiclitellata; Megascolecidae.